CUUCCCUCCCAACCCUACAUACUUCUUCAUAUGCCCAUAGGGAGUCAGCUGGCGUUAUGGAAUGUUAAGAAGUAUGUAUCUUUGGGCUGGGGU
This is a microRNA precursor of Pelodiscus sinensis (Chinese soft-shelled turtle), 93 nucleotides long. Lineage: Eukaryota; Metazoa; Chordata; Testudines; Trionychidae. The record is from Ensembl.